ACGGCUCAGUAACACGUCGAUAAUCUGCCCUUAGGUCUAUGCGAACCUCGGGAAACUGAGGCUAAACUUGAUAGGGGUUAUGAACUGGAAUGUUCUUUCCCUGAACUAAGGAUGAGUCGGCGGCAGAUUAGGUAGAUGGAGAGGUAACGGCUCACCAUGCCUAAGAUCUGUACGGGCCAUGAGAGUGGUCGCCCGGAGAGGGAUACUGAGAUACUGAUCCCAGCCCUACGGGGUGCAGCAGGCGCGGAAACUUUACAAUGCACGCAAGUGUGAUAAGGGAAUCCAAAGUGCUUACGCUUUGCGUAGGCUUUUGCCAAGUCUAAACAGCUUGGAGAAUAAGUGGUGGGUAAGACUGGUGCCAGCAGCCGCGGUAACCCCAGCGCCACGAGUGGGAGUCGCUUUUAUUGGGCCUAAAGCGUCCGUAGCCAGUUUUGUAAGUCUUUUGUGAAAUUGUUAGGCUUAACCUGACAGCGUGCAAGAGAUACUGCAAUUCUAGAGACCGGGAGGAGUAUGGGGUAUUCCAUGGGGAACGGUAAAAUGUAAUAAUCCAUGGAGGACCACCAGUGGCGAAGGCGCCAUACUAGAACGGAUCUGACGGUGAGGGACGAAGGCCAGGGGAGCAAAACGGAUUAGAUACCCGAGUAGUCCUGGCAGUAAACUCUGUGUGCUAGGUGUUGCAUUUUCUUGUGAACGUGCAGUAUCGAAGUGAAGACAUUAAGCACACCGCCUGGGUAGUACGGUCGCAAGGCUGAAACUUAAAGGAAUUGGCGGGGGAGCAC
Molecule: ribosomal RNA, 779 nt
Filed under: uncultured archaeon
Lineage: Archaea
Description: bacterial SSU rRNA
Rfam family: Archaeal small subunit ribosomal RNA
Source: RNAcentral